This 724-nucleotide ribosomal RNA is filed under the name Rhegmatobius sp. CA58. RNAcentral describes it as "partial large subunit ribosomal RNA". The stretch from base 340 to 498 matches the Rfam family "Bacterial large subunit ribosomal RNA", at positions 2473 to 2632 of the family's 2925-position model. RNAcentral also lists the same sequence under 1 other name. Lineage: Eukaryota; Metazoa; Arthropoda; Insecta; Coleoptera; Carabidae. The record is from RNAcentral.
UUAAAUGGCCGCAGUAAUUUGACUGUGCAAAGGUAGCAUAAUAAAUAGUUUUUUAAUUAAAAACUUGUAUGAAAGGUUGGACGAAAUAAAAUCUGUCUUUUUUUAAUAUUAAAGAAUUUAAUUUUUAAGUAAAAAAGCUUAAAUUUUUAUAAAAGACGAGAAGACCCUAUAGAGUUUAAUAUAAUAUUUUAUAUAAUUAAUUUAGAUAUUUUUAUUUUAUAUAGUUUAAUUAUAUUUUAUUGGGGUAAUAAAGAGAUUAAAAUAAUUCUUUUAUUUUUUUAUAUUUAUUUAUAUAUAAUUGAUCUUUUAUUAAGGAUUAAAAGAUUAAAUUACCUUAGGGAUAACAGCGUAAUUUUUUUAGAAAGUUCAUAUUGAUAAAAAAGUUUGCGACCUCGAUGUUGGAUUAAAGAUUAGUUUAGGUGCAAAAGUUUAAAUUUUUGGUCUGUUCGACCAUUAAAUCUUUACAUGAUCUGAGUUCAGACCGGUGUGAGCCAGGUCGGUUUCUAUCUUUAUUAUUUUAAAAUAUUUUAGUACGAAAGGACCAAAUAUUAAUUAAAUUAAUUAUUAUUUGAAUUUUAUUGUUAUUUUGGCAGAUUAGUGCAAUGAAUUUAGAAUUCAUAAAUGUAUUUUAUACAAAUAAUAUUUGUUUUUUUUAGAUAAUUUAUUUAUAUUUAUUAGAUAUUUAUUAUUAAUAAUUUUUGUUUUAAUUAGAGUAGCUUUUUUG